This 65-nucleotide transfer RNA is filed under the name Bactrocera wuzhishana. Its description in RNAcentral is "tRNA-Asn". The record is from RNAcentral. Lineage: Eukaryota; Metazoa; Arthropoda; Insecta; Diptera; Tephritidae.
UUAAUUGAAGCCAAAAAGAGGCAUAUCCCUGUUAAUGAUAAAAUUGAGAUUAAUCUCCAAUUAAG